GCCGACGUAGCUUAGUGGUAAAGCAUUCGCAUGGUAAGCGAAAGACCGGGAGUUCAAUUCUCCCCGUCGGCU
Molecule: transfer RNA, 72 nt
Filed under: bacterium
Lineage: Bacteria
Description: tRNA-Thr
Rfam family: tRNA
About the family: Transfer RNA (tRNA) molecules are approximately 80 nucleotides in length.
Source: RNAcentral